CCGAUUAGAGUUUGAUCCUGGCUCAGGAUGAACGCUGGCGGUGUGGAUAAGGCAUGCAAGUCAAGGGGCCCGCAAGGGCACCGGCGAACGAGGUAGUAACACGUGGGAACAUACCCUUUAGUCAGGAAUAACUAGUCGAAAGAUUAGCUAAUACUUGAUAGUCUCUUCGGAGUAAAGAUUUAUCGCUAAAGGAAUGGCCUGCGGAGUAUCAGCUAGUUGGUAGGGUAAUGGCCUACCAAGGCUAUGACGCUUAGGGGAGGUGAGAGCCUGGCCCCCACCGAUGGAACUGAGACACGGUCCAUACACCUACGGGUGGCUGCAGUCGAGAAUAUUUGGCAAUGGGCGCAAGCCUGAUCGAGCGACGUCGCGUGAUCGAUGAAGUCCUUCGGGACGUAAAGAUCUUUUGUGAGGGAAGAAGUUUAUUGACAUUACCUCAAGAAUAAGGGGUUGCUAAACUCGUGCCAGCAGGCCGCCGGUA
RNAcentral lists this ribosomal RNA (478 nucleotides) under uncultured bacterium. RNAcentral describes it as "bacterial SSU rRNA". It matches the Rfam family "Bacterial small subunit ribosomal RNA", at positions 1 to 522 of the family's 1533-position model. The record is from RNAcentral.